Molecule: long non-coding RNA, 670 nt
Filed under: Pan troglodytes (chimpanzee)
Lineage: Eukaryota; Metazoa; Chordata; Mammalia; Primates; Hominidae
Description: long non-coding RNA NONPTRT014241
Source: RNAcentral
AGUAGCUUUGCUACAGGAGAAAAUCGCUUAUCUGUAGCGCAAAAUCGGCGCACAGGGGUUUUCUCUGAGAUUGUCUAGACGCCGAGCGGGCGGGUCGGAGGCGCCAGACACAUUGUAUCCGGAGCGCGGAGCUCGGGAGCAACAGUCGCCGCUUCUACUCUGUAUCUGCGCCGCCCCAGGCGCCCAGUGUCCGCGCUGGGCCUGGGACUGCCCUCGGGGGAUGGGGCCCACGCGGGCUUUGAUGGGGGGCCGGGGGCCACUUUGUCCACCCAGGCGAGGCUCGGGUCCAGCGCCGGCCACAUCAACUCCCGGGGGAUCUAGCAGCGCAGAGGCCGAGCAGGAGGCCCGGGAGCCCCGCGCGUCUUCCAUUAGCGCAGGGACCUCCGGGCCACAGCUCAGAGAAUCGGAAGGCCUCCUCCCCCUUCCCGAGCGCUGCCACUGGGGCCGAGGUUUCCAGCAAGAACCCGCGUGUCCCUGCGCACGCACACACGGUGCACACAUCAGUCCGGCGCCUCCCCGUGCCCCGACUCACGCAGGUCCUCCCGCGCGCCCGCAACACGCCCGCAGGCUCCUGUGUCUGCUGCCGGGGCAGCGGGGCCCGUAAGGCAGAAGAUGGCUGUGCCACCCACGUAUGCCGAUCUUGGCAAAUCUGCCAGGGAUGUCUUCACCA